This 408-nucleotide ribosomal RNA is filed under the name uncultured bacterium. Its description in RNAcentral is "bacterial SSU rRNA". It matches the Rfam family "Bacterial small subunit ribosomal RNA", at positions 30 to 437 of the family's 1533-position model. The record is from RNAcentral.
AUUGAACGCUGGCGGCAUGCCUUACACAUGCAAGUCGAACGGCAGCAUGGGAGCAAUCCUGGUGGCGAGUGGCGAACGGGUGAGUAAUAUAUCGGAACGUGCCCAGUCGUGGGGGAUAACGUAGCGAAAGCUACGCUAAUACCGCAUACGAUCUAUGGAUGAAAGCGGGGGAUCGCAAGACCUCGCGCGAUUGGAGCGGCCGAUAUCAGAUUAGGUAGUUGGUGAGGUAAAGGCUCACCAAGCCGACGAUCUGUAGCUGGUCUGAGAGGACGACCAGCCACACUGGGACUGAGACACGGCCCAGACUCCUACGGGAGGCAGCAGUGGGGAAUUUUGGACAAUGGGCGCAAGCCUGAUCCAGCAAUGCCGCGUGCAGGAUGAAGGCCUUCGGGUUGGUUAAACGUAGUC